This 403-nucleotide ribosomal RNA is filed under the name bacterium. RNAcentral describes it as "partial 16S ribosomal RNA". It matches the Rfam family "Bacterial small subunit ribosomal RNA", at positions 355 to 776 of the family's 1533-position model. The record is from RNAcentral. RNAcentral also lists the same sequence under 2 other names.
UGGGGAAUAUUGCACAAUGGAGGGAACUCUGAUGCAGCGACGCUGCGUGAACGAAGAAGGCUUUCGAGUCGUAAAGUUCUUUUAUAUGGGAAGAUAAUGACGGUACCAUAAGAAAAAGCCCCGGCUAACUACGUGCCAGCAGCCGCGGUAAUACGUAGGGGGCUAGCGUUGUCCGGAAUCACUGGGCGUAAAGGGUUCGCAGGCGGAAAUGCAAGUCAGGUGUAAAAGGCAGUAGCUUAACUACUGUAAGCAUUUGAAACUGCAUAUCUUGAGAAGAGUAGAGGUAAGUGGAAUUUUUAGUGUAGCGGUGAAAUGCGUAGAUAUUAAAAAGAAUACCGGUGGCGAAGGCGACUUACUGGGCUCAUUCUGACGCUGAGGAACGAAAGCGUGGGUAGCAAACAGG